GGGAAGUACCAACGAGAUUCCACAAUACAUUACAGUGGAACAACAACACAAUAAUUCGAAUGAAGGAAAAGGUGCAAAAUCAAGCAAGUUGACACUUGAACAAACAAAGGAGAAUCUGGGGAGAGGAACAGAACAAGAACAAUCAUAGAAUAGGGAUAAGGAUGUUGGAAAAAGGAAAAGCAGGCAGAAGAAGGAGAGAACAUUAACCAAAUGCCAAAUUCUUCUAACUUCUCCUCUGGAAUGCAUAACUUGGAGGCUGGAGCAUGAGCAGGCACAAUUGAAUGCAGAAAUGCUGCAUGAUCGUUCUGCAAUCAGCACCGUACCACCAGUUCAAGGUAAUUUUCCACCUUUGCUUGAGAAAUCUGUUGAUGCAAAUAUGCAGGGGAACCAAAGCACAUCGGCAAUGGAAGUGCAGGAAAUACAGAAGACAGUAAUUUCCCCAAGAUAUUCAGUAAUUUUGACCAUCAAAAUCUCAACCAAAGGAACAGAAUCCCCCCCAAACCAGGUUCUACUUAUGACAACCCUGAACAACCUCAAAACAAUCCCUCCAGAAAAGACCACAUCCCUGAACCUGCACCUGCACUGUUGUCCAAACCUGUGCUGAUAGAUUUAGACACAACCAAGCCAAAAAUGAUUUUCCCAUUAAACUGACCACCCCUGAAAUUACCUUCAAACAAGGUAUACCUGCUGUCCU
This 694-nucleotide unclassified non-coding RNA is filed under the name Hevea brasiliensis (rubber tree). Lineage: Eukaryota; Viridiplantae; Streptophyta; Magnoliopsida; Malpighiales; Euphorbiaceae. The record is from RNAcentral.